GACGAACGCUGGCGGCGUGCUUAACACAUGCAAGUCGAACGCUGACGCACCAGCUAGCUGGUGUGGAUGAGUGGAGAACGGGUGAGUAAUACGUGAGUAACCUGCCCUUGACUCUGGGAUAAGCUCGGGAAACUGGGUCUAAUACUGGAUGCUACAUGUCACCGCAUGGUGGUGUGUGGAAAGGGUUUACUGGUCUUGGGUGUGCUCACGGCCUAUGCGCUUGUUGGUGAGGUAAUGGUGAACCAAGACGACGACGAGGAGCCGGCGUGAGAGGGUGAGCAGCAACACUGAGACUGAGACACGGCCCAGACUCCGACGGGAGGCAGCAGUGGGAGAGAGUGAACAAUGGGCGAAGGCCUGAUGCAGCGACGCCGCGGCAGGGAGGACGGCCUUCGGGUUGGAAACCUCAUGCAGCAGGGAAGAAGCCACAAGUGACGGUACCUGCAGAAGAAGCGCCGGCUAACUACGUG
This 470-nucleotide ribosomal RNA is filed under the name uncultured bacterium. Its description in RNAcentral is "partial 16S ribosomal RNA". It matches the Rfam family "Bacterial small subunit ribosomal RNA", at positions 28 to 507 of the family's 1533-position model. The record is from RNAcentral.